CAAUAUCAGUCCUGAGGGCCGAAGGUCCCGAGGGCUGAUAUUGGUCGAGUGGUGAUACAGCAUGCGAUACGGAUUUUUCCAUGUAUUAUUAUUCUGUUUAUCAUAUAUUUUAAUAGAAUCAUUUUCACGGGAUAUCCAUUUUUUAUUAAAUCGUCCGAAAUUAUUAGAAAGAAAAGAACAUUAUGAUUGUGCUGUAUUUUUCCAGCUGACUUUUUUUUAAUAGACUUCAACACCAAGAAAAAAAUUAUUGAAAAGUUUGCUAUCUAUUCUAAUCAAACUGAAACCGUAAAAAAUAUCCAUCGGAUAAUGCAAACAAACCACGAAAAUUCAGACAAAAUUAACAAUAAAACUUCAGAUAGUUCCAUCUAAUUGUGUCUUUUUUUUUCUUUUACUUCAUAAAAGUUCCAGGGUAAUAAUUUUUUGAAAAAUAUCGAUUUUAGUUAAAAUGAUAGGACAUUUCUGUAAGGGUGAAUGCCAGAAAAUACAGCAACUGGACGUCAUAUGUCAAGCGUUGACGUCAUUUGCAUUAUGACGUCACGCCAGGUAUGCGAUAUGGGGUAUGCGAUACGGAUUUAGCUAUGCGAUACGGGGUAUGCGAUACAGGGUAUGUGAUACAGACUGGAAAAAGUAACCUUUAUUAGAUAUACAAAAUUGCUGUAUUUUGUAGUAAGUAUAUGAUAAAGACUAUUAUCACAGAUCUGCUUUCAACAUCAAAUGCUUUCAGAGGGCAGCAACAUAAAAAAAUAUGGAAACAAGGAGCUCUUUUAAAUAUUGCACCCUGUCGACUGGCAGUGGUCGUAGAAAGUUGCGUUUGGCUUUGAUCAUUUAUUAUCCAUAUGUUGUACCAUCAAACAAAAAAUAUUGUCAACUUUUUUAUACUGUACGAUUUAAUAAAUAAAUAUUUUUGAAGAAGAAAGUAUCAGUCUAUUGUUAAAUUCCUCUUCGUACAAAUGACUUCCAUUUCUCGGAAAAGUUAUUUAUUCCAGAUAAAAGCGCUGUACAUUAAAAAAAGGACAUAUUUUUGAAUAUGCAGUUUAUAUAAUGGAAUGGUGAUUUGGAGAUCUAAAAUGUAGUAGCAAUAUAAGCAAGCUUACAUUUUCGUCAUUUUGUCUUUGAUAGAAAGUUGAU
RNAcentral lists this long non-coding RNA (1128 nucleotides) under Mytilus galloprovincialis (Mediterranean mussel). Lineage: Eukaryota; Metazoa; Mollusca; Bivalvia; Mytilida; Mytilidae. The record is from RNAcentral.